This 263-nucleotide ribosomal RNA is filed under the name uncultured bacterium. RNAcentral describes it as "partial 16S ribosomal RNA". It matches the Rfam family "Bacterial small subunit ribosomal RNA", at positions 793 to 1055 of the family's 1533-position model. The record is from RNAcentral.
GUCCGCACAGUAAACGAUGUACACUAGGUGUCUGGCCAGAAGGUUGGGUGCCAAAGCAAACGUGAUAAGUGUACCGCCUGGGGAAGUAUGCCCGCAAGGGUGAAACUCAAAAGGAAUUGACGGGGGCCCGCACAAGCGGUGGAGCAUGUGGUUUAAUUCGAUGAUACGCGAGAAACCUUACCUGGGCUUGACAUAUACUGGAGGUAGCUGGAGACAGUUACGCGUAGCAAUACGCCGGUAUACAGGUGCUGCAUGGCUGUCGU